Molecule: unclassified non-coding RNA, 148 nt
Organism: Macaca mulatta (Rhesus monkey)
Lineage: Eukaryota; Metazoa; Chordata; Mammalia; Primates; Cercopithecidae
Rfam family: Metazoan signal recognition particle RNA
About the family: The signal recognition particle (SRP) is a universally conserved ribonucleoprotein.
Source: Ensembl
GCUGGGCGUGUUGGUGCGCACCUGUAGUCCCAGCUACUUGGGAGGCUGAGGUGGGAGAAUCACUUGAACCCGGGAGGCAGAGGUUGCAGUGAGCUGAGAUGGCGCCACUGCACUCCAGCCUGGGUGACAGAGUGAGACUCCAUCUCUA